UGAGCCACAUGAGAAUCUGAUUACUGGUGGUGUAUUUCAGAGGUAGUCUCUAUACGACCUACUUGGUGUGAUCCUCGAUUGAUUGUAGUAGAGGUACCAAGAAUCUGUGUAUUGAUUCUGAUGAUCUAGUGAGCAUUUGAGAGCACUGAUCUCUUCCCGGACAGUAGGAAACGAAGUCGGGAUUAACAAAACUUUGUGUUGAUUACGUUUUUCGUUUUCGUAUAAUCUGCAAACAAACAAGAGGAAGCCAAGAUCAAUAUCAAGCAAUCUCAUCGAAUUAAAUCAUGAAUAAACACUAACAAGUGGUAUCAGAGCACAAGGUUAUUGUGCAGGAGCUGAUUGCGAGUGAUCAUGAUCUAAGGCGCUAAAGAUCCUAUAUGUUUUGUGGAUCUGUGUGUUGGAUCGAGCUCGGAUCUUGAUGGAGUCGGUUACGAGGUUUGAGAUGGAGAAGUUCGAUGGUAAAGGAGACUUUGGGAUGUGGAAAUUCAAAAUGCUGA
RNAcentral lists this long non-coding RNA (497 nucleotides) under Brassica napus (rape). RNAcentral describes it as "long non-coding RNA (BNAP_LNC026812)". The record is from RNAcentral. Lineage: Eukaryota; Viridiplantae; Streptophyta; Magnoliopsida; Brassicales; Brassicaceae.